RNAcentral lists this non-coding RNA (29 nucleotides) under Homo sapiens (human). The record is from RNAcentral. Lineage: Eukaryota; Metazoa; Chordata; Mammalia; Primates; Hominidae.
UAGGAUGUGUGUGAUCCCGAAGAGUUUGC